Molecule: long non-coding RNA, 497 nt
Filed under: Cricetulus griseus (Chinese hamster)
Lineage: Eukaryota; Metazoa; Chordata; Mammalia; Rodentia; Cricetidae
Description: lncRNA (ENSCGRG00000024729.1)
Source: RNAcentral
UGAUUAAGGUGAUGUUAUGGUGACAGGAGGCUGACUCACAGAAUAAACAGACAUUGAAGGCUCCAGUAGUGAGAUCUCUGGGGAAGCAGCGUGAGAAGAGAAGGAAUCACAGGGCAUAACCAUGAGGGACAGCACCAGGCAUGGAAUGGGUAGGGGGAAAGAGCCUGAAAAGCAGACAGAGGUGCAGCCAAGAGGAAAGAGGAGAAGCACGGGUCACUGUGUCACAGAAGCCAAGAGAGGAAGAAGUGAUGAAAUACGGCCAAUGCCAAAGGGAGAUGGAAAGCCUUCAAAAGUGUUCAGAACGUUGUGUGCUGGAGAGAUGGCUUAGAGGUGAAGAGCACUUGCUGCUUCUCCAGAGCACCUGAGUUCAGUUCCCAGCAUCCGUGUCAGCUCACAAUCACUUGUAACUACAGUUUCGGGAGCUCCAAAGCCCUCUUCUGCUUCCAUGACCAUCCACAUGAAACCCCCACACAUAAAUUUAAAAUUUUUAAAUAAAC